This 396-nucleotide ribosomal RNA is filed under the name uncultured bacterium. Its description in RNAcentral is "bacterial SSU rRNA". It matches the Rfam family "Bacterial small subunit ribosomal RNA", at positions 28 to 419 of the family's 1533-position model. The record is from RNAcentral.
GAUGAACGCUAGCGGCAGGCUUAAUACAUGCAAGUCGAGGGGCAGCACGGUUAGCAAUAACUGGUGGCGACCGGCGCACGGGUGCGUAACACGUAUACAAUCUACCUUAAACAGGGGGAUAGCCUUUCGAAAGAGAGAUUAAUACCCCGUAAUAAAUUGAACGGCAUCGUUUGAUUUUUGAAAGCUCCGGCGGUUUGAGAUGAGUAUGCGUCUGAUUAGCUAGUUGGUGAGGUAACGGCUCACCAAGGCGACGAUCAGUAGGGGAUCUGAGAGGACUAACCCCCACACUGGUACUGAGACACGGACCAGACUCCUACGGGAGGCAGCAGUAAGGAAUAUUGGUCAAAUGGAGGCAAACUCUGAACCAGCCAUGCCGCGUGCAGGAUGACGGCCCUA